CUGGGGGUUGGGUGUUUACUUC
RNAcentral lists this microRNA (22 nucleotides) under Taeniopygia guttata (zebra finch). RNAcentral describes it as "Tgu-Mir-30-P2a_3p* (star (passenger))". Lineage: Eukaryota; Metazoa; Chordata; Aves; Passeriformes; Estrildidae. The record is from RNAcentral.